ACUGCUCAGUAACACGUGGACAACCUGCCCUUAGGACGGGGAUAAACCCGGGAAACUGGGUAUAAUACCCGAUAGGUCUCGAUUGCUGGAAUGCAUCGAGAUUUAAAGCUCCGGCGCCUAAGGAUGGGUCUGCGGCCUAUCAGGUAGUAGUGGGUGUAGCGUACCUACUAGCCUACGACGGGUACGGGUUGUGAGAGCAAGAGCCCGGAGAUGGAUUCUGAGACACGAAUCCAGGCCCUACGGGGUGCAGCAGGCGCGAAAACUUUACAAUGCUGGCAACAGCGAUAAGGGAACCUCGAGUGCCAGGUUACAAAUCUGGCUGUCGAGAUGCCUAAAAAGCAUUUCAUAGCAAGGGCCGGGCAAGACCGGUGCCAGCCGCCGCGGUAACACCGGCGGCUCGAGUGGUAACCGUUAUUAUUGGGUCUAAAGGGUCUGUAGCCGGCCGGAUAAGUCUCUUGAGAAAUCUGGCAGCUUGACUGUCAGGCUUUCAGGAGAUACUGUCUGGCUCGAGGCCGGGAGAGGUGAGAGGUACUUCAGGGGUAGGGGUGAAAUCUUGUAAUCCUUGAAGGACCACCAGUGGCGAAGGCGUCUCACCAGAACGGACCUGACGGCAAGGGACGAAAGCUAGGGGCACGAACCGGAUUAGAUACCCGGGUAGUCCUAGCCGUAAACGAUACUCGCUAGGUGUCGGCCACGGUGCGACCGUUGUCGGUGCCGUAGGGAAGCCGUGAAGCGAGCCACCUGGGAAGUACGGCCGCAAGGCUGAAACUUAAAGGAAUUGGCGGGGGAGCAC
RNAcentral lists this ribosomal RNA (793 nucleotides) under Methanosaeta sp. enrichment culture clone A22139. RNAcentral describes it as "bacterial SSU rRNA". It matches the Rfam family "Archaeal small subunit ribosomal RNA", at positions 85 to 879 of the family's 1478-position model. Lineage: Archaea; Methanobacteriati; Methanobacteriota; Methanomicrobia; Methanotrichales; Methanotrichaceae. The record is from RNAcentral.